Molecule: ribosomal RNA, 939 nt
Filed under: Ceratocystiopsis sp.
Lineage: Eukaryota; Fungi; Ascomycota; Sordariomycetes; Ophiostomatales; Ophiostomataceae
Description: partial large subunit ribosomal RNA
Rfam family: Eukaryotic large subunit ribosomal RNA
Source: RNAcentral
UUUUACCCGUUGAACUUAAGCAUAUCAAUAAGCGGAGGAAAAGAAACCAACAGGGGAUUGCCUCAGUAACGGCGAGUGAAGCGGCAACAGCUCAAAUUUGAAAUCUGGCUCCCCUUGGGGGUCCGAGUUGUAAUUUGGAGAGGAUGUUUCUGGCGCGGCGCCUUCCGGAGUUCCUUGGAACAGGACGCCACAGAGGGUGAGAGCCCCGUACGGUCGGCCGCCUAGCCUCCACGAAACUCCUUCGACGAGUCGAGUAGUUUGGGAAUGCUGCUCAAAAUGGGAGGUAAAUUUCUUCUAAAGCUAAAUACCGGCCAGAGACCGAUAGCGCACAAGUAGAGUGAUCGAAAGAUGAAAAGCACCUUGAAAAGAGGGUUAAACAGUACGUGAAAUUGUUGAAAGGGAAGCGCCUGCGACCAGACUCGCGCCCCGCGGACCAGCCGGCGUUCUCGCCGGUGCACUCCGCGGGGUGCGGGCCAGCAUCGGUUUUCCCUGGGGGAGAAAGGCUGCGGGAACGUAGCUCCUUCGGGAGUGUUAUAGCCCGUGGCGCCAUGCCCCAGGGGGGACCGAGGACCGCGCUUCGGCAAGGAUGCUGGCGUAAUGGUCGUCGGCGACCCGUCUUGAAACACGGACCAAGGAGUCAAGCAUUGGGGCGAGUGUCUGGGUGCCAAACCCGCACGCGAAAUGAAAGUGAACGCAGGUGAGAGCUUCGGCGCAUCACCGACCGAUCCUGAUGUCUUCGGAUGGAUUUGAGUAAGAGCCCCACCGCUUGGACCCGAAAGAUGGUGAACUAUGCCUGUAUAGGGUGAAGCCAGAGGAAACUCUGGUGGAGGCUCGCAGCGGUUCUGACGUGCAAAUCGAUCGUCAAAUAUGGGCAUGGGGGCGAAAGACUAAUCGAACCAUCUAGUAGCUGGUUACCGCCGAAGUUCCCCUCAGGAAAAA